CUUUGUAGCGCUUACUCCACACA
Molecule: non-coding RNA, 23 nt
Filed under: Arabidopsis thaliana (thale cress)
Lineage: Eukaryota; Viridiplantae; Streptophyta; Magnoliopsida; Brassicales; Brassicaceae
Source: RNAcentral